AAAUCAAUGAUGACACCCCAAUUGCAUUCCUUGGAGCUGGACAGAAUAAGUGAAAAUUCUUAAAGCAUCCUUCUCAUCAUAACUGAGGUCC
RNAcentral lists this small nucleolar RNA (91 nucleotides) under Chinchilla lanigera (long-tailed chinchilla). Its description in RNAcentral is "Small nucleolar RNA SNORD116 (ENSCLAG00000018689.1)". It matches the Rfam family "Small nucleolar RNA SNORD116". From Rfam's summary of the family: HBII-85 is a member of the C/D class of snoRNAs, which contain the C (UGAUGA) and D (CUGA) box motifs. HBII-85 is encoded in a tandemly repeated array with another C/D snoRNA, HBII-52, in the Prader-Willi syndrome (PWS) region of chromosome 15. Unlike most other snoRNAs, HBII-85 is expressed prevalently in the brain (but is absent in PWS patients) and lacks any significant complementarity with ribosomal RNA. The record is from Rfam by way of RNAcentral. Lineage: Eukaryota; Metazoa; Chordata; Mammalia; Rodentia; Chinchillidae.